Molecule: long non-coding RNA, 828 nt
Organism: Schistocerca americana (American grasshopper)
Lineage: Eukaryota; Metazoa; Arthropoda; Insecta; Orthoptera; Acrididae
Exons: 4
Source: RefSeq, a predicted model, not a curated record
CGAAGGGUGACAGUAUCGCAGAACCAGCAGACGCAUUCGAAACCAGUGUGAAUCUCGUCGCUCGUGUGGCCAACAGCAGAAUUUUACGUCUUUUUCAUGGCAGAUUGAAGGAUUUGUUGAGAAGUACAAGAAAAUGAAAGACAGGGCAGCUCUUUUGAAAGGCAGUUUACAUAAGAAAGUGAUGACCUUUGAAAGAUGGUGGUGUGUUUUAACAGAUGAACUUGAUCUCUGCAUUCAGAGAUCUGUGGAGAACAAGUCCUUUGAAGCUGAAAGCUCACCUUAGAACAUAUAGGCUGCCCGCUGUGGCCGAGCGGUUCUAGGCGCUUCAGUCCGGAACCACGCAGCUGCUAUGGUCGCAGGUUCGAAUCCUGCCUCAGGCGUGGAUGUGUGUGAUGUCCUUAGGUUAGUUAGGCUUAAGUAGUUCUAAGUCUGGGGUCUGAUGACUUCAGAUGUCAAGUCCCAUAGUGCUUAGAGCCAUUUGAACCAUUUUUGAACAUGCAGUUAGCAAUUCAUUGUGAAGUAAAUUUGCAGAUUUGUUCCACAAACUUGAACCAUUUAGUUACGUAAAAGGCUUCAGUAAGGUCACAAAAUAUACCAGCAGGAUUGUUUUGGUUGUUUUUAGUUCUGAUAGGUUUUCAUUCAUAAGGGUAUAUGGUGGCUGCUACAUGUGAAACUCAAAAGUAUUUAGCAAAUUUUGUUUGAGUUAAGGACUGAUUAUGAAUACGGUUCAUGGUUAAUUGUAUCAACCUUUCACAAGAUUUUACUAAUCUGCUAGAAACACUGUCAUGGAAAAAUAUUGCUGCUUUUAGCAACUUGAUGGUAUUUUUA